AGUUCUACUUAACCUUCUCAUGAGAUUCUUAGAGGCCAUGUAUUCAUGUCUAUUUUUUUUAUUUUCUUUACCAACUACUUAUUCUUUAUGAUUCUGAGCUAGGAAAUAUGAUCACUAUCCUCUCAGAAGCUGGACUGUCUUGUUGCGUGAACACGUGUAACACUUUAUAUUUUCCUCCUGUAAACAUUUUAUUUCUUGUUUCGUGAAUCCUUCAAAGUGGCUUAUAUGCCAGGAAAGAUGGUCAAAAUGAGGAAUUGAAUACCACUAAAAUAAUGAGCACAGGAGCUUUGAAAUGAUCUCUGUUUUGUCAUCAAUGUUUAACAUAAAAGUGGAAACCAACACAAGCAGUUAGGGAAUGUGCAGGAAAAUUCUCUGGUGUGGUGUACAGUUUCUUUUCUUCUACUGGAUUCAUAUCUACUUUCUGCUGUUCAGAGAAGGAGAGUCCAAAAGUCCAUGUCCCCAUUCAAAUGAAAAUAAAAUAAAAGUAUAUAUAUAUAUAUAUUCCAGUAUUUUUACACUUCAAUCAUGCGAUUUUUUUGUAUAAAAACAAUGAAAUAUUUGUGGUUUUGCAGUGUGUUACUUCAGUCGAUAAAAAUAGUUUUCCCUAGCAUGUUUGAAUUCUGCCCGGAAAUAAUGAAGGUUCACAGAAUGAUAGAUUCUCUUCCUAGUUCGAAGCAUCUUGCCUUUUUUCCUGUGGUUUAUACCGUUGUAAUUCUUUCCUUUGUUAGCUUUCUACAUGGAUGGUUGGUGGGCGACAACUGCCACGACUAGUAUAUUUAUUGCAGCUGCCAUUACAGAUUGGCUUGAUGGUUACAUUGCUCGAAAGGUACGGACUGGCAUCUAUUUAAGUUAUUGUUCUUGGACUGUAUUCAAUUACUUCUUCAUUCAAAUUAACAAAGCUCUGAUGUGUUAUUUAAUGCAGUCAAAUGUUACCAUUCAUUAACUCGUUUGCAUUGUCAGAUGCGCUUGGGAACAGCAUUUGGUGCAUUUUUGGACCCUGUAGCCGAUAAGGUUUGAAUUAUUUUUCGUGAACUUAUCCUUUUGUGCAGCCCACUCUGACUCUAACAUUGACAAUUGCGUGUGAUUGGGAUGUUUGAGAUAGAAAGUUAUUUAAGUGUUCUUCUUAUUAUCCCUGAUUAAUUGUAGCUUAUGGUUGCUGCUGCUUUGGUUCUCUUGUGCACCAAACCUUUGGAAGCUGCUCUAUUUGGUCAAGCACCGUGGCUCCUGACUUUACCUUCAAUUGCCAUCAUUGGGAGAGAGGUAACUGCCGAUUUAUGCCCCUUUCCCCCCCUUAAUAUGCCCUUUAUUUUCAUGAAUAAAAUAUUUCCAGUUUUUUAUUUUCUCUCCAUUUCAAUUAUUUAUUGGCAUGAAUUUUUCUGCAAUAUGCAAUGUCGAAUAUGGUGUCCACAUCUUUAGAAAAUGCCAAUGUCAGUAGGGCGUCCAAUAGUCGAGCUGAAUGACAGCUAAAUUGCGUUGCCUAGUUCACAUAGAAAGAAAACGGAAAAACUGAUUUUGAGAUUUCACUUGCGAUUUUUUGAGCUGAUCCUUAAUUUGGCAGUUGCUGGCCAGAAACAGGACGGGCCACAUGCAGAUAAAGCCGAACCAUGAUAAGAUCUGUUUCAUUGUCUGGCUGAUUCCAGAACUGAUCAUGGUCAUUUUUAGCCUGUCUGAUUCAAGAAACCCAUUUGGCUUUUCCUUCUAUUCUGGGCUUUGCGUUGCAGGAGUAGAAAGCAUGACGCUUUCUGUAGAGAUGCAAACAAAAAAUUUAUUGGGACGGCAGAAUCUAAAAAUAUAAGUUUCAAUCGAUUAUAUAAGCCAGAGGUAUAUCUAAAAAUAUACCCAUUCUCGUCCUGGUGGUAUUUUUUUUUUCCAGCUCGAUCCUGUCGACGCAUAAACAAAAGUCUAUUAAUUUUUACGUCACUAGUUAUUCAACAUGUCUGGGUCCUCAUUACAUGACCUAGAUUUCAAACUUAUCAUGAUAACGUCAGAAAAUCGUAGGAUGACAGGUCAUAUGCGCCUCCCUCCUCGUCUAUUUAUGUAUAGAGAGGAGAAGGGGAUUUGUACAGUAUGGGCCUAAUAUGAUACAUAAUUCUUCACUGGGUGAAGGGUUUAUUUAAUCCCUUUUUCCGAGGCCCCUUUAUUGGCUUUAUUGAGGCCCAUUUCUACGAUUUCAGCGCUCAAAAAACUAUUAGCACUCUCUGAUGAUCCAUUUUUCUUGUAGAUAACCAUGUCUGCAGUUAGGGAAUGGGCUGCAUCUCAGAACAGCGGAGUUCUUGAGGUUUCCUUCCAUUCCUGUCUCUGAAGAGGACCCAUCGAAAGCCUCCCUCCUUCAGACAUCUUAAACCAUCUGCCUAUUUGCAUCAGGCUGUUGCUGUAAACAAUCUGGGGAAGUGGAAGACGGCGACCCAGAUGACCGCACUGACCAUUCUUCUGGCUUCCAGGGACUCCAGGUUCCUCUCAAGCGGCGCUUAAUCUCUCAUUCGAGCCCUCUUGCUCCUUUGGCACUUAAUAAUUAUGUUGUCUUGUGGGCAGUCUGGCGGGCCAAAGCCUCAUGGUUGCCUGUGGCGUGACCCUUCUCAACAUCUCUGCGGCCCUUGCGGUCUGGUCACUGGCCGUCUACAUGAGGAAAAUAUGGCGAGUAUUGAUGAAGUGACCGCCCACAGUUGGGGAAGAGCUAUAGAUGAGAUCGAGGUAGCUCCUUCAUGGCGGCCACCACUGGGCGGCUGGCUGGGGCUUCAGCUUCAUGGUGGCCGGCGUCCAUCCGGGUCUGAGAGAAGCUUCUGAAAGGGAUGUGGAUGGAGCUGGUUUCCUCUUCUUCUUCAUCAUCAUUUAGAUGUGGUUACUCCUCCUCCAGGAUGAGCUCUCUGGGAGUAAAAUGGUCCGCAGAGGAGGACCUCCCCACUUGCUCCUACCAGCUCUCCUGCUGCCAAGCCCUGCUCUCUCUCUCUCUCUCUCUCUCUCUCUCUCUCUCUCUCUCUCUCUCUCUCUCUCUUUCUCUCUCUAUCGAUCGAGUGAGUAUCGUUUGUCAAGUGGGGAUAUAUAAGGCUCGAUCGAUGGCCCAGGAGCAGGAUUUUCUAUAUUAUUGUUCCUUCCUGGACUGCGACUGCAGGUAGUCCACAUGGGAGGAAAAUAUCUGACAACUAUGAAUAAAUGUCAACAGAGUACCCUUUUCUUCAUGUGAGAUAAAGUCCCUCUUUUUUUUUUUAUAUAUAAGUUGGCUCUUGAGAUUCUCUUGGGGUUAGAUAAGGGUAUUAUUGUCUUUUCAUAUUUGCGAUGGGACUGGGACUAGUUGGGCCCCCUUUUUAUGGGCCCCUGUAUUAUAUACAGGUAUAAAUGGGCCGUAUUGGGCCGAGAAGUUGUCUGGCCCAGCCUGAGUCCAAAGGUCAAUUAUACGACGUGUUAGAGAGAGAGAGAGAGAGAGAGAGGAGGUGGCUUGGGUUAGCUUGUCUGAACAACAAUCAAAAAGUAAGGAAGGAGGCGUGAAAUUUUUGCUAAAAAGGGGAGAAAAGUUGCAGGGCAGAGAGAGAGAGAGAGAGAGAGAGAGAGAGAGAGCANNNNNNNNNNNNNNNNNNNNNNNNNNNNNNNNNNNNNNNNNNNNNNNNNNNNNNNNNNNNNNNNNNNNNNNNNNNNNNNNNNNNNNNNNNNNNNNNNNNNNNNNNNNNNNNNNNNNNNNNNNNNNNNNNNNNNNNNNNNNNNNNNNNNNNNNNNNNNNNNNNNNNNNNNNNNNNNNNNNNNNNNNNNNNNNNNNNNNNNNNNNNNNNNNNNNNNNNNNNNNNNNNNNNNNNNNNNNNNNNNNNNNNNNNNNNNNNNNNNNNNNGAGAGAGAGAGAGAGAGAGAGAGAGAGAGAGAGAGAGAGCACGAAGAGAAGGGAUGGGAUGGAGGGGUCGAGAGCUAUAUGUACUCUUCCUUCUUCCAGAACAGAAGCCGCGAAGAUUUUAUAUACAGCAAGAGCGGAGGCGGAUUGGGCGAGAUCCCCCAAAAAAAAAGAAUGGAUUUUUUUUUCCUUCCCUCGGCCCUCAGAAUAACAGGCUCGUGCUGACGAGACCAGGGGGCCUCUCCCUGGCAGCCCCAAACCCCUCGUCCUCGAAGUCCUCGUUCGUGGAGUUCUCCCUGCAGACCAUCCUCUCCUCCGCCACCGCGGGCCCCACGCCGAGCACCUCCCACCCCAUCGGGUGCCCCUCGCCGGCGGCGGCGGCGCCCUUCUCGAUCGACUCUAUCAGCGGCGCCAGGCUCUCGUCCAUGUUCUCCCCCAUCUCGUCCUGGAACAGCGGGGGCGGCGAGAACUCGUCGAACCCGGCGGCGAGCUCGCCGGCGGCGGCGGCGCCGUGGUCUCCUCUCCUGGGCCGCUUCCACUUCUUCUUGGAGGCCGUGGCGUCGUCUUCAAAGUCCUCCUCCUCCCUGUCCCUGUGGAGAUACACCCAGAGCUUCCUCUCGCCGUCGUACUGCACGCAGGGGUCCUGCUCGUAGUGCAGCCGGUCGAGGGCGCCGCUGACGACGGAGUUGAUCUUCCCGUCGGGGACGUCCUCCACGAGGAACUGCGAGUCCCUCAUUAGCGUGGAGACGUCCGCCCUCGUGCCGAUGCUGCCGGGGAGCCUGGCGGCGGCGUCGCGAACCAGGCAGAGGAUGGUGACGUGCGGCGGCCGGUCCUGCUUCAGCAUGAAGUGGUCCCUGGCUUUGGAGGUGGGUUUUCCGCCGCCCCUCCUCAGCGGCGCCACGGUGGAUUUACGGCCGUCGGCGGCGGUGUAGGAGAAGGCUCUGUCGGGGACGGAGUAGCGGAGGAGCUCCUCUUGCCGGAAGUAGGCCCUCGCCUCGUCGGAGCUGGAGCUGAUGGUGACGAGGCUCUUCUGGGCUCUGAGGUCUUUGAACCUCUCCUUCUCGUCCAGAUUCGGCGGCGGCAGGGCCGGCGGCGCUGGUAAGCUUCCGAUCUGCUUGAGCGUCUCCUGCCCGCUCUUGAGCCAGUUGGCGAAGGCGUCCACCAGCUUGACCAGCAUCUUGUGGGGGAUUCCCCACGCCUCCGAUGAGGUCUCCUCCUCUGCGGCGGCGGCGGCGGCGGUGGCGGGGGGGCCGAUCCAGGACCAGCUCUUGGUGGGUUUCUCGUAGAAGACGAGGGGCUUCCAGGCCUUUGCUCCAAGCGGCGCCGUCUUGGAGGAGAGGAUUUUGAGGACCCCUCUGACGAGAUCUUGCAAGGGCUCCUGGGUCUCGAGAAUGCAGGGGUCACCUGGGUUGGUUCUCACUCGGGCGACGAUUUCCUGGACGGUGAGGGAAGGCAGGUUCUUGGGCUCGUCCUCGUCCAUGUCCUCUGCGCUGGUGCUGAUCAUGGCCUUGCGGAUGGCAGAGAGGAGAUGGACGACGGAGAAGGAGAACCCGGUAUGCACCGAGGGAGUGAUCAGGGUGAAUGGCUUCUUCACGGGCGACGGUUCUGGCUCUGCCUGCGACGGGUCCUCCUCCGCCAUGCCGGCCCCCGCCGCUUCGGAAGAUGCCAGAGACAGAGAACCGGCUGCAGAGAGGGCCUUCCUCUUCCUCUUCUUCUUCUUCCGACCGGGAUCAUCAUUGGCGCGCCCCUUGGUAGCUUCUUCAGGCGGAUUAGCAUGAUCAUCAUCACCGGCCCUCUUUCUCCUCCUCUUCGUCGCUGAGUUGCAUCCUGCGAGGGUCACGUUUGAUUUCCCGUUGUAAUCGAGCCCCGGCCCGAUGCUUUCAUCUGCAUUGUUCUCCCGAGCUUGCCCAACAUCCGUUGACCUGAGGCCUCCAUCCACCAGUCCCUCAUCCGCAGGGCCAUCUUCAUGGUCAACGAGGCCAAGGUUUUCCUCAGAGACAGCGUAGUGAGAACCCACCACAGCCGUCUUCCCCUCUGGCUCCACAGAGAGCAUAUCUGGCAUUAUUGCUGGUCCAAGUCCAUCUCCACGGCCGCCCUGCAACUUCCUCCUCUUGGUCAGCUUGCGACCAGCCGGCAGAUCACGCGACAACUUGCCCGAUGCGGGCAAGCUCUCAGCAGCCCCGUCCAGAUUAUUGCUAUAUUUCCCAUUUAAUGACGCAUCUGUCUCGGGCACGAUUGUCGCAGCAGCUUGAUCCGGAUAUGGGCUCUGCUUCCUCCUGUUCUUAUUCACAUUCUUCUUGAUUUUACUGCCGCUGGAUGUGACUUCCACAGCCUUUGACUCACCAUUGGCCAGGAGGCCAACUGGACGUCUUGAUUUCUUCUUCUUCACAGGAUUCAGAUACACAUCAUCCUCGCCCUGCUUCGAUGAAUCAGAUCCUGGUUCUUCAGAUAAUUUUUUUACUGCCCUCGUGGGAGUUUCUGCUCUGCCACCGGAGAGAGGAUGCUGUUCGUCCAUAUGUGGGAGGAGAGGUCUGCGAGCCUUGAUUUUGGGACCACUUUCUCCCCUCCGAUUCUUGGUUUUAGUUCUCAGGUCAUGGCCCACGCUCAGGGCUUCAGCAUGGGGUUGACUUUCACUAUAAGACUCCCUUCCAGCCAACUGGGUUGGCCGAUCCCCUCGCGGCACCGACCUCUGAGGAUAUCCAUGGGUGCCCUUGUCCGGAGAAUCCCAAGAAUGCUGUUCAUAAGGACGCAGUGCUUCCAGUGGUUCAUCAUAAACUGGCUGCCGGGCGCCCCUCUUGUGCUUUCCAAGGGAGAUCGCCUCCUUCCCCAGCUUCUGGGAACCUCUACUCCUCUUCUGUACGGGCAUUUCGAGCAACUGUUCUUCUGCAUGAUCAUCAUCAGCAUAGUUCUUCUGGGUCCUCCCCCUCCGGGCAGCUCCAGAGUCAAACCCCACUGCAGCGUCCUUCCUGGGAAUGGCGAAUGGUGAAGCAGAGGGCCUGUGUUUUGCUCCCGGACGGCGGGUGAAUGAUUGAGGCUUGGUCGCUUCCAGGGCCAUGCCACUUCCGGCAGGCUUCAACAGUUGCAUAGGGUGCCGACUCUUCUUGUUCCAGUGGCCAAUAGGGUAGAGAUCAUUCUCCGAGUCAGUCGCUGAGUCCCUGCUGAGACUCUUCGAGUGGCCCAUAGGCCUCUGACUCCUGAGUAUGUUCAGUAGCCGAAGCCUCUCCUCGAUGCCAUAGCCUGCGUAAUUCUCCCACGCAUUCCUCAUCCGGACGAGACUGUCAACCAUGGAAUUCUGGUACUUUUGCAGCUGAUGGUAGUGCUCGCUCCUUUGGAAAAAGGUCAAGCACCGGCGAUGGAGAUCAACCUUGGGUUCACACAGUCCACCCUUCAACCGGCUGUAAAGCUCGGAGAGCGGGCUGCCAAAAUGGAAGUUGCUGCCAGAGAGAAGCUCCCUAAUCGUCUGAGAGUACGUCUCCUGGUCCAUAUCAGGGAGGUACUCCGCCAGGGAGAACCGCUCGUCCUCCGUGAGGCAGUUGUUCCAUGAAUCCAGGGACAGGAUUGAACUGAGAUCUGGAAGAUCAUACAAUUCCAACGGGACAAGGAAAUUCUGGUUCCCGACCUGGCAAUACUCGGCACCGACCUCUCCAAGCUCGGACAUGUCAUAGUUGUCGGAUCCCAUCCCAGAGUCCACCUCCGAUCCUUCUGUAUUUUCUGAUUCCGACUCCGGCCUGUGAGACUGGAGUUCGUCGUCGUCGUCCUGACUGGAAACACCAUCUCCAAUUGGCGCCAAGACAUCACCGUCUAAUCUCGAGGCCCUAGAGUUAUUCUUCGUAAUUGCCAUGGAAACGAGAUGAGCUAUCAAGGAACUAUCUCAAUCUCGAACCAGAUGGAUAAUGGCUAAGCACCUGUAAUGCAACGACGGAGGCGAACCUUAGAAUGGAGAAAAAAAACAGCCGAAAUAGGGUAAAAAAGAAGAGAAAGGCCAGGCUGUAGAACAAGCCACAAAAACCCUAAUCGCAGAUCGACGGGCAGGAAGAGAGAAGAACAAAGCCUUACCUCAACAAUACGCUCCGAAGACCAGGCCUCCGAAUCGGGAAUCCACAGCAGAGAUCGGACCUCGGCGUGGGCGCCCUCCCCCUACCCCCGCACCGCGCAGACGAGGCGAAAGAACCGCGGGAACCCUACGUUGGGAGCGGGGGGAGGAGAACCAGUCAAUAAAUAGCACCGACGAUGGAGCAAGGAAGACGACGACGACGUGGGCGCGUUCGGGUCGUCCGAUGGGCAGAUGUGGCGGCAGAUAGAUACAAAGAGGGAGGGGGGAGGAAGACGGCCGGGGAGGAGAGAGUCGAAUGGGGGGAGGAAGAGGGACGAAGGGAGGGAGGAGGAAGAAGGGGAAAUAAGAGAGAAGAAGAGGGGCAAAUUGCGGGAGAGGAAAUAGGUCGGCGGUGGAGGAGGAGGAGACCAGGCGGCGUGUACUUUCUCGCAGAUCGACGGCCGCCGGUGGGAAGAGAGAGAGAGAGAGAGAGAGAGAGAGAGGAAGGGGGCGCAGGAUAAGGGAGAGGAAGGAGAGAGAUUACGUGGGGAGGGGGAGGGCAUGGUUGCAGGGAAACCCUAGGCGGCCACAGAUAGCGCUGAGGCUGUCACUGGCAGAGAAGGGGAUCUCGGGGAGCGGCGCAUUUUAGCCUGACGGCGGGAGGAGGGGGCGGGGACGGAGAGGGAAAGGGAUAUCCGGAGAGAGGCGCAUUUUAGCCUGACGGCGGAAGGGGGUGGCGGCGGGGGAGGAGGCGGUUCCCGACGAUUAGGAAGCCCCGCCGGCACCGCGAUAUUUCGUGGCGUUACCGUUCAUCUGAUCUACCUUCCAGUGUCCCGAUCUGGGUGGUGUCCCAGACUGACACCUGUCAGUCAACACCCUUCGUUAAUGGGGAGCCCCAAUACUACGAAGGAACCGGACAAACAGGACCCGCGCCUGUACCUGUUCGCACCUCGAAACUGACAUGUGUCGAAGAUCCAUGGAACCCAACUCUCGCACGUGACACCCCAGCGUCUCAGAUAGAUUAUCCACCCAAUAAUUAUUUUCAACUGUUAAUUUCCAAAUAUCAUUUGUGCUAAUCAUGCAAAUAGAUUAUACACCCAAUAAUUCUCAAUUGACAGUAAUCGUCUCUCCCUCCCUCCCUCUCUCUCUCUCUCUCUCUCUCUCUCUCUCUCUCUCUCUCNNNNNNNNNNNNNNNNNNNNNNNNNNNNNNNNNNNNNNNNNNNNNNNNNNNNNNNNNNNNNNNNNNNNNNNNNNNNNNNNNNNNNNNNNNNNNNNNNNNNNNNNNNNNNNNNNNNNNNNNNNNNNNNNNNNNNNNNNNNNNNNNNNNNNNNNNNNNNNNNNNNNNNNNNNNNNNNNNNNNNNNNNNNNNNNNNNNNNNNNNNNNNNNNNNNNNNNNNNNNNNNNNNNNNNNNNNNNNNNNNNNNNNNNNNNNNNNNNNNNNNNNNNNNNNNNNNNNNNNNNNNNNNNNNNNNNNNNNNNNNNNNNNNNNNNNNNNNNNNNNNNNNNNNNNNNNNNNNNNNNNNNNNNNNNNNNNNNNNNNNNNNNNNNNNNNNNNNNNNNNNNNNNNNNNNNNNNNNNNNNNNNNNNNNNNNNNNNNNNNNNNNNNNNNNNNNNNNNNNNNNNNNNNNNNNNNNNNNNNNUCUCUCCUCCCUCCCUCCCUCUCUCUCUCUCUCUCUCUCUCUCUCCUCUCUCUGGGUCGUAUAAGCGAAGCGAGGCGACUUUAUCAGAAUUUUUCCCUAAUUGGGCCUCUGACGGCUCGGUCAACUAUGCAGCCAAAUCAAACCCGGAUGGCCGGGUUAUCUGAGAUAAAAAGUCAGAGAACCCACCUAUUCCAGUUCUAACCCGAUGUCAACCCACUACCAAGGGAAUAUAAUGGUUAUGAGAGGGAGAUAUUUAGCAGCGAGAUGCUCUCCUACCUCGAGAAUCCAGUCUCGUUGACUAACGACACGUCAACCAAUCGGAUCCUUGGCCGUUUCUAGAGCACUUGCCUGCAUAUUCCUCUGACUUUUCUUGUUCGAGCCUCCUUUCUUGGUCCUCCGACGGCCACUCGCCGCAACUGGGCUACGACUUUCUGGGAAAAAACCCACCUUGGUUGACUGAAGCUGGCGCACCGUCCGGUCAACGCCCUUCGGUUCCCUUGAUUCCGCAGGCCCUCCUCCUAGCUUCCCACGGUGCCAGACGUUGAGGAACAACGCCUCCAACGGGACGGACACAUCAAGCGGCAGCAGCACCUCCUCCAGCUCGUCCUGAUCGAGGUCCUCGAAGUCGCCGUCCUCAUAGACCACUCUGUACCACUUCAUCUCCGAGUCAAAGUCAACCACCUUGCCCCAAUAAAAUCUGUCACCGAACAGCUUAUACACCUCUCUUCCUUCGAACCAUCUGCCGAAAUACGGCUCGUGGGGUGCUUCUCGGUCAUUCAUGGCGCUCGGUGGAGUGGGAGGGGAUCCAUUGGUGGGCAUUUCUGGCAGCCCGUUGAUGCAGACGGCCGGCUCUCCGACCACUUGGAACACAGACGAAGACGAUGAUUCCGCCUCCCCCAUUUCAGAGCUUCUUUCUUGCAUGAUAAGUGGCCACCGAAUGGACCGUGGAGUCACUGUGGAUGGCAUGUUUGACUUUUGAGUAUGAUCGUCGUCGUCAAAUCACGGUGCAGGCCAUCAAUGCAGGUCAACGAAGUAAAUGUAAAUAUUUCAAGUAAAAAGAAAACACCUGAGGUGGAAGAAUGAGAAAAAACUGCAGGAUUCUUGAUGAACUAAAAUCACGAAAAUGGGGUGGAAAAACAUGAAUAAAUAUUUUAAACAACAAAAUUCAUAAUAAGAUGCUCUUGAAAGCGCGUGUUUGAAUAAAUUUGAAGCACAAAGGCGAUAAUCAGAACACAGAUGAAGAACAGAGAAACUGAUCCUCAAAGUAGGAGAAAUCCGUCGUACAAAAACAGUGAAAAUUUUUGAUCUUUAAUGAAAUGGCUACACAGAUUCGGCAUCCAUCCAUCUCCUCCUCACUAUCAUCUCACUCAAAACGUUUCAUUGAUAGAAAUCAGACUCUAUACAGUAAAAAAACCUGGCAGAAUCUACAGACACACAGCGUAAAGUAUAACAUUCAAACAGCCAGAUAGAGUCUUAACCAUCUGAAAGUAGAUCAAACCAUGCCCUGUCGUGUCCCUAGCCACGAAGAAAUAAAUGCUAAUCCCAGCAUUAAAUUGGUCCCAGGUUCAUCCGAAUCUCCUAGUUUUCAGAAUAAUAUGUCCUAAUCUAAGCAGUUUUAACACAGCUAAAGUGCUAAAUUGAUUAAGUAAUGUUAUUAGUGCGUAACUGUACUGAGCCUAGAGCAGAUAGGAGUGAUUCUGCCCGAGGGAAGCUGUUUCCAGGAAUAUACCUCCCCCUUUCUAUUUCCUGUGUUCUAAUUAUAAAAAAUCGUAGCGUGAAGAUCAAGAAAUAAAGAUUAAAAACAUUACGAUUACUCAAAAUUUUCGAGAAAUCUUAACGCGAGUUUAAUCGACGAUCUGUUCGUCGCACCGGCUGUAUAUAUUAUAGAUCAUCAGGUCGAACAUCAAAGCCUGGAUUGCGAAUGGGAAGUCAUAAUGGUUAAAAACAUUAUGAAUCCAAGCUUCGAAGUUCAACCUGAUAAUCUAUAAUAGAUACAGUCGGCGCGAUGAACAGAUCGCCGAUUAAAUCUAACGAGAAUCGAAAUAAAACGCGAGGACUGCACACUGAAGGUCAAAUUAUCAGAGUCUUAUGAGAAAGCAGCAGCGAAUAACGAAAGAUCGCCGCCUUACGCUGAUAGCGGAGGCGAUUGAACAGCCAGAAGCGCCCUCAUGUGGAGGCCUCCGUCCACCGAUGAGCAUAGGUAUCCGACAAACAGAAACAUAACGAUGCGAAGUGGUAAAUAGCGAUGAGAGGGCAGCAACCUAAGAAAAGGUCAUAUUAGCGAGGAGGAAAUGCACAGAAAAAUCCGCAGAAAUCUCCAACAGGUAUUAAACCUUCUUCGGCACGGCAGACUGCAGAGAGAGAGAGAGAGAGAGUUAGGGCUUCAUGGAUUACUGACCUUUGUCAUCUGAUGCAAUCGCACUGUAGAUAUGAUCCUGAAUACCUUACAACGAGUGGAAACCAGGAAGGGCCAAUAUCUGCCCGAGAAGAAAGCUUCGCCUGAGGAGGGUAGAGCCUCCGGUUACGACUGCGUCGGAGGCGGAGGCGGCGGCGGCGACGAACCAGGGGCGGCGAGCGGUAAAGCGUUUGGAUCUGUAACAGCUUCCCACCCUCCGUUCCAAAUACAGGUCGGCCCAUUAUAAAGUGGGCCUAAACGGCCCACCAGUUAUAACGGGCCCAUUAAAUUUAAUGGGCCAACCAGUAUUGUUAAACUCAUUAUCACUUCCUGAAACUCGGCCCAUUCUAGGCUAUCCGUUUUUCCCGGACGUGUCCACUCGAGUGGAUGCUUACCUGGCAAUGAAUUCGCUUGCCACGUGUAUCGAUCUGGCCCAUUUCCCCGAACUCGGACCCAGCUGGAGAUGACGUGGUUAGAUUUCUCUCAUCUACCCGUUAUUUUCUCAAAUAUAUUAGGAUAUAAAUAAUCGUCGACGAAAAUCGGACCGAUUAAUACAUAUUUUAAUAAUUUAAACUAUAUCGGAUUGAAUUUUUAAAAUUAUAGAUGGAUUGAUUACGUCUGAAAAUGUUGGUCGGAAGAGAUCGUCGGUGGCGGAUUCUGUCUUCCCCGCAGGAUCAUGUCUCCGCCCAAAAUCGUCGAGCCUCGCAGAGCCUGCCGCUCGGGUUCCGAGAGCCUCCUCUCUCUCUCUCUCUCUCUCUCUCUCUCUCUCUCUNNNNNNNNNNNNNNNNNNNNCUCUCUCUCUCUCUCUCUCUCUCUCUCUCUCUCUCACUCACUCGCAAUCUGUCUGUUCCUAUCUGAGAUAUAGAUCUAUCUUCUCCAUUUCCAUCUCUAAAAUAGUAGGAAUGCCUCAGGCUCCUUCGACAAGGUGGUGCCCGACACCAGAGCAGCUGAUGAUGCUGGAGGAGAUGUAUAGGGGCGGCCUCAGGACUCCAAAUGCCUUGCAGAUACAGAGCAUAACUGCCCAUCUUUCAUACUAUGGGAAGAUAGAGGGUAAGAACGUGUUCUACUGGUUCCAGAACCACAAGGCAAGGGACAGGCAGAAGCUCCGGAAGAGGCUCAACAGACACUACCAGAUGCUUCCACAGCAGCACCAUCUCGCCCAACAGCCCUCUCCUACUCACCACCAGCUAGAGGCGUCCAACGCAUUUCUGCGCCAGUCUCCCCCCCAGUUUCUUCAGCAGGUCUUCAUCGCUCUCUCUCUCUCUCUCUCUCUCUCUCUAUCACUAUCUUGUUUGAUGACAGAUAUGACACUACGCAGUCCGUUAUUUUAGGGUAUUACCCAUCUUGCGUCUUCUGUCCAUCUUUGGAGAUUUUUCGAGUUAUCUGUCAAUAUAAAGCGGUGGAAAGGGAUUUUAGGGUUUCAGUUGCCCGGUAAAAUGUUGCGCUUUCUAAUAGUCCGCACGAACUUCUUCUGUUUUCCUCUCCAUCUUUUUCUUCUUCUUCUUCAUCUUCUUCGUCAUUGUGGACAUGGGUAAAUUUCCUAUGUAUUCUUUGCUGGAUGCGUAGGGUCUCCGCGAGGAAGUAGUUGAGGCGAUGAGCCUGAUUAGCAAGCAUGGGAGGUUCGAGAGAGAGGAAGAGCAGCAAAGGUUAGAGGAGACGAGCCCCACGGCAUCUGGGUACGAGUGGAGGAUGCUGACGGGAGCAAGUACGGGAGCUCCCUCUUCUUGCAAGCCUCUGAGAACCUUGGAGCUUUUCCCCACCGGAAUAACUGGCCUCAGAGGAGACUGUAUCUGCUCCAAGUCCUCUUCCUGCUCGGCGUCGACUAAGUAGAUGCAGCAUGCGGAUGCCAUAGCUCGAUGUACUCUCUCUCUCUCUCUCUGAGGAGCAAGUGCAUUCAGCCAUGUGAUUGGAGACUCUCCUUUUCGAGCUGUCUAUCUAAAUGCAGAAUUAGAUAGAGAUAUUUUCUCUUUAGUUGAAGAAAUCAAUCAACGCAGAACAACUCUCUCUCUCUCUCUCUCUCUGCGGGGCGUUAAAUUUCUCUGUCGUCUACGCCAAAUAUUUUAAAUGGCUGUCUUCAUCUGCUAACCCUCUACAUUUUUCUGCUCAUCUCGUUUCCGCUGUCAGACCUCCAAAGGCUGACAUGGAAGCCGAUAAUUCUGCCGACCAACGACAGAAAGACUGGCAAUUCAGGUCAACUGGAUUUCCGACAAACACCAUAACCCAGUUGGCAGCGCAUGAGCCGCCUUGUUAACAUCCCCAGUCUUUCCUUUUAUGGCAGUGCUAUAUGCUCUUUGAACCCUAAGAUGGUCCAACGAGGGAAGAACGAAUAGCUUGUCUUAGAGGAUCGCCAUAUCCUUAUCCGUAUCUGCCCAGUACUUGGAUAUCUUGUCCAUACCCUAGUUUGUAAUAACUUCCCCAAUAGAGGAGAAGCGAAAGAAAGACACGAAAGGGGAAUAGGGUGAAGAGAGAGAGAGAGAGAGAGAGAGAGAGAGAGAGAGACGCAUGAAUAGUGUUUUUUUUGAGUCGAGUGAAAACGGAGCUGAUGCUGAAACAGAAAGGUGUGACCUGCCAAGAGAUAAAAUCGUGUUCCGUCUUGGACAUCGAGAACCCGUAAAUUUUAUCAACCAGUACAUUCGUCUCGGAUCUCCUGUCUUCUCGACCAUCCAUCAGCCAGAAGCUCUCUCUCCAUCUGUCAUCUUCAACCUCCAUGGAUUCCAUCUCCUACGGUUAUUCCAGAGAGCUAGAGAGAGAGAGAGAGAGCGCUUCAUUCUCUCUGCUUCUAAUCGGGGAGAGUUAAUGCCCGUCCCCUUCGUUCCUCCUUCCCACCAUUCCACACUGCUGACUCAAGUCUCCAUAAGAGAUUUCAGACGCAGAGCAGGAGCAGCAGGACUUGUAGAAUCAGUCUUUAUUAUACCCUCAGACUAGUCAACACGAGGGGAAAGGGGCUAGUCCCCGGCAUGUAAGCGAAGAUUUCCUCGCCUUCGAAAGCUGCCGCUGCCUGCGUAUCUACGCCAGGGCGAUCGUCCAAGUCGCCGAGAAGAAGACAGUGAGAAGUUUUUCCACAGAACAUUGAUUACCCACCUGAGCCGUCACCGCUCAUUUAUUAUCUGAUCUACGGCGGCCUCUUUAUCCCCGCCGACGUGAAUCCUUCAUGUCCACAGCUGCCAACGCCGAGAACAAGAUGAAGAAGAGGAGGACGGCUGUGAGUAUCUAAGACUAUGAUCUUGUCCCGGUCGGUGGUGCCAUUCGGCUUGUUAUCUUUUCAUGGACUGAAGGCAUUAUUUUCACACGCGUUAAAAUCAGUGGCUUCAUGUGAAAUUAAUAUAUAUUAUAAAAAUUUUCAUGGGUUUGAUUUAAUGACAUCCUCGUGACUCAAUAUUAAUAGCAAUAUUAUCUCUAUAAAAAAUUUUAAUGAUUUUAAGGCAAUUAGUGAGGAAUUUAUCACAAAAUCAUCAAUAAAACGGAAUGCACUCUUGUCCUAUAAUAUGAUUCCCCUAUUGAAUUGAUGAUGCUUGGACGUAUUGCCUAGGCUAAAGCGGUCCAGGGAUUGUUAUUUUCUCAUUUGGGUAACCCACCUCAAACCCAAAUGACUACAAGUAUAUUAGGCAUGUCUUUAUAAUCAUCCAUUCAUAUUAAAAAUGUAAGCAAAUAUAAAACUAUUCACCGUUUAGCCGUUUCAUAAUCGGUCAGAAUUGGAAAAGGCUAAGUAAUUCGAGUUUAUCCAAGAUGACCCAGCUGUCAAAGUUCCAUAACCUUGGAUGGUUAAGCAAUGAUGUGAAGCUUGGUAAAAUGAUAAACGUGGAGUAAGUCGUGUUUGCUUUUCAAAGUGAAAUAAUGGAAUAGUAGAGCCAAAACAUUUAAACUUAUACGUGUUGUGAAACUGAAAGUCAUUUAAAUGUAGCAUCUAAUAUGUAAAUUGACCUGGUUAACAUGCACCGUUAGCCUCUACUCUAAGUCAGUUGACUCUCUUAUUAAUUAAUAAAAUUGAAAAUGUUAGCUUUGUAAAAAACAGAUCUUUAAAACAUAAAAAUGUUUUUUCAAAAGCUAUAAUAAAGUAUUGACAAUAUCUGUAAGGGCCACAUUAAUAUGUGGAUGUUUUUGUGAUGUAAAAUUACUAUUUUCCUAACUAUAUGUUUGAGGGUUAUCUUACCAAAAUAAUUAACUUCUUUCUUAGAAUGGUAUAUUGGUCAUCAUGGAUGUGUGGGUUCACUUAUUUUGUCACUAAAUACGUUGAAACUUCUGGUUAUACGGUGAUUCAACUCAAUUCAUUCAUGCAAUAGAAUGCCUUUAUAACUUUAUAGAAGUAAAAACAUAAAACUUACAAUUAAUUGAUUCGACCAAAUUUGAGUCUUUCUCACAACUUUUCAUAUGUUGUUCCUAAUUGAUCAAAGUAUUUCAAACUUAAAUUUAAAAUCUGAAUUUAGUAUUGUCCACUUAAUUUUUUUUUUCACCAUGAGUGUAAAAUAUUUUUGUACAGUUUUAAAAAUAUUUUCUAAACAUAAAUAAAUUUAGUGUAGAUCACUAUUUGAAAAAACUUUAGAAGUUUCAAUAGCGAGAAUACAAUGCAACGCCUAAUUCCAGAAUAAUCAUACACAUUGAUAUAUGAUUAAUUAUGUAGAACAAUAAAAAUGAGCCUAUUUACUAGAACAUCAGUAGGAGUCAUUGGGUUUCUCAUCAUUAUUAUAUCUAUCUAUAAUUAUGAGUGGGGUACAUUUACACUACUGAAGUUCUCACUGCAACUCUAACUUAGUUAACGACAACUUGAAUAGGCUCAUCUAAAUGACUAUGUCACCUCUUGCUCCAUGUCGUUCACAUCACAUCUACAAUGUUUGCAUUAGGUAGAUUCAUGGCAUCCAAGUGGGCAUAAUCUGGGUUAUAAUCAAGUUGACCCAUUAUUAUCAUCAUAAGUUCGAAUUUAAUUUGAUAUCUUGAGGGCAAGUUAACUUAGAUAUUAGUCCGCGAAGAUGAUCACAAAUUUAAUGUGUUUAGUCAAACAACGAAUAUUGAAUCUCAUUCCAUGGUAAAGCCAUCAUAUUGACUUAUGAUGCAUUUAUGAUCCUAUCUUUGAGACGUAAUGUGACCAAUAGCGAUGGUGGGCCCCCCUUUCUGGCGGGCCUCUCUUAUUUUGGGCUCCUGGUGUUCAGAUCAGCCGAGUCAAACUGGGUCUCGAUUAGUGGAGCAUCUCACACCCGAUUUCGGUCGCUAUGCGGUGCUCAAGAUCCAGAUCUGGGCUUUUCAUUUUUGGGCCGGGCUCUUCAGUUUGGGCCUCCAUUUGUGGGCUGAGAAGAACCACUAGAAGCCCACAAAAAUAACCUUAUGCGACGUGAGGUCGUUUUAGAGACAUCAGGGUCUUCUUCUUCCCCGUCGGGAUUUCCAUGAAAACAGAGCAUCGAAGGAGGUGGAGCACAGGAGGAAGAAGACGGAGAUGGAGGCUCGAUGGGUGGUCCUCUGUGACUAGUGCGGAUGGUUGGGGCUGUUCAUGGAUAGAAUGCCGAGGAAAUUGGCCCAUAAUUCUUGGUCACCGGCGUGAAGCUCGUCCUCCGGCGACGGCCUCCGGCCGCCGCACACGGCGGCGGGCCAACGCCGACUUUCCUCGCGAACCUCCCUCUGACGCGUGGCCGGACUUCCGACAGCGUCUUCCUGCACGCGUACUGGUCCGAAAAAGAGGUCCGGAAGAAGCAGAGGGAGGAGGAAAGAGGAGAGGGGAAGAAGAGAAGGGGGAGCGAUCGUCACCGUGAUCUUAUUCUGGAAGCUUCUCUGGUUCCGCUUACUUCUGUACUCGUCGAUUCUCUCUUUCCUCUCCUGGGCGCUGUACCGCCCAACUCUCCCGCUACCAGCAGCGGCUGUCGCCGUCGCCGGCGGCCAAUCUCCGGCCGUUUCCCGCUUGCUGAUCUCCUGUACAGAGAGAAACGCCUCGAGAGAGGAAGACAAUUGGACGGACAAGUUCCCGCCGGCGCCGGAAGGGAACGACGCCAUCCGCGGGGGCGGCGCCGCGGACGUUGUGGGCUGACGAGCUCGGGCACUGGGCCAUGGCGGGGGAGCGGGACGAAGAAGACGACAGCUGUUGCAGAGAGUGCGUGGGAUGAUGGCGACGAUGAAGGUGCGGGCCGUUUUGACGAUGACAUGCGAGAGAGAGAGAGAGAGAGAUUAGCCGAAUUUAUUUUUAAAAUAAAUAGAUAUUUGAAAAAAGAUAUUUAGGAGCAGGGAAGAAAUUGGUUUUUGAUUUUUUUGUAAAAUAAUUUCACGGGGCCAGCUCUACAGGUCGAGACAAAGGCCGGGGAUCUCGGUGGUUCUCGGCAUCUUGCUCCUCCUCGGACGAUCUGGGCGGGAAAGCGGUGGCAGACGACGACGGCGACGGGGACGGCGGUGGCGGUGGCAAGGCAUAGAAGAGCAGGCUAGGGUUGAGCAGCAUGGGGGAAGAGGGGCUCUCUCCCCGCCCCGUCAUCGAGCACAGGACCUACGCGAGGGUGGGGCUGCUGGGGAAUCCCAGCGACGUCUACUUCGGAAGGACCAUCUCCUUCUCCCUCGGCAAUUUCUGGGCGUCCGUCCGUCUCGAGCCCUCUCGGGAGCUCGUCAUCAGGCCGCAUCCCGUGCACGACUUCGUCUCCUUCGACUCCAUUGAUCAGCUGGUUCGUCGGUCCCUACCUCUCAGAUCUUGAUCUACUAGCCCCGCGUACUCUCGUCAGCGCUCUCUGCCAGAUCAAGGGGCACAUUCAUUCCAUUUAUGCUCACAUUUUUAUUGAUCGGACAUUUUACCGUAGUUUGGGCAACCGCCUGUACUCUAUAGAGUUUGCCUUCACAAUCUGUCAGCGAUCUACUUCUGCCGAUUUUUCAAUUUUUUCCACGACUGUUCUUAUGUUUUCCCGGACAGAUUUUUUGAGAAUUCGGUCAACAUUUCGAUCAAGUAUGUGAUUGACUGUAAGAUAAUGGUGCCUCAACGCAGAUGAGCCCUAGAUCUGAAUUCCCAUGUAUUUUACGGCUAGAAUGUUUGAUUUGAACGGAAAAUGGAGAAAAAAAUUUACGCAGAUGAAGCAUCUGAUCGUUACACGCCUCCCUCUCCUUCCUUACUAAGAAGCCUCUGUUGCAGCUUCAAGCUACCAAGAGCAUUGCAUAGAGACAACCCCUAGCGGCCAUCUGGUUGUAGAUUAAUCCUUUUUUUAUAAAUUAAGCCCUCAUCAGGUACCUUCAAUGCUGAUUUCUUCUUAUUUACUUAUAGCAGUCGUAUAUACAAAAUGCUGCAGCCAUAUCCAGUAAUGUUCCUGUUUAUAUAUUUUAGGGUGCAGAAAAUUCAUCCAAUUGAUGCGACUGAUGCAAUUCUAUUGAUUGACCACAGUAGGCUCUGAUGCCAGAAAAUCCAGAAUUUCUUCAGUGAUCAAAUCCCAUUCCCCUGAUAAUCUUCAUAUCCCGUCACCCAAAUAGCAGUUGAAGAACAUACGGCCAUUCUCUCUCUCUCUGUGCCUCUGUCUCUGUGUCUCUGUGUCUCUGUCUCUCUCUCUCUUAUUGCUGCUUGGUGUUCAUCUACGUGCCCUUCAUCUUGCAGGUGAAUCGGUUGGAGAGUGAAGGCUAUUACGGAGGAGUGCGUCUGCUUAUGUCCAUCUGCAAAGUCUUCCGCAAAUACUGCAGGGACAAGCAAAUAAAUCUGAAAGGGGGAAACUUUACCCUGUCUUAUGAAACCAACAUCCCUCGCCAGGUGAGCAUCCUCUGGAACUAAUCAGCAGAGCUUUGGGGAACAAUAGGGGUGCUUUCUCUUUCUAAAAAAGGGAAUUGGGUCAGUUGAUCAGUCUGUGGUGUUCUUAGCUUUGUGCUCUAGUCUGCUUGUUAAUCUCGAAUUCGUCUAAAUUAUUUAAUAAAUAAAUCUAUGUGCAUUUAUGUAUAUAUAUAUAUUUAUACACGUAAAUGGCAGUUUGAGGAGUAUGCCAAUUAGGUUCGUUGAAACUAUUUUCUUCUGAUAUUUUCUUGUCAAUCUUUCCGAUGUUGUCAUUGAUUUUAUCUCAGUAUUUAUGUUUCCCACUAAUAUAAUUCUAUUGGGAUUCUCAUUAUCAUUAGUUGACCGUGAGGUAAAUUUAAGGUAAUUUAGUGAUAGCUUGGUACACAAUAGAAUUCCCGAUAGAAUUCAGUGAUAGCUUGAUAACUCAGAUCAGAAAGCAUGCUGGGAAUUUGUUCGCCGUUGACUAUUAUUUUUUCUCUUUUUGGCAUCUUCAGACAGGACUUUCGGGUUCCAGUGCCAUAAUUUGCGCCGCUCUGAACUGUCUCCUGGACUUUUACCAAAUCAGGCAUCUGGUGAGCGUCGAGAUCCGGCCCCAGCUGAUCCUGAGCGCAGAAAACGAGCUCGGAAUCGUCGCCGGCCUUCAGGACAGGGUGGCUCAGGUCUACGGUGGACUCGUCUACAUGGUACUACGUUUUAUACGCCGUCUUCAGCCCUUCGUCAUCUCCCCGCCAUUCUCCGAGAAAGUCAACGAUUCUUGAUCCAUUCAUUCAGGAUUUUAGCAAGGAACACAUGGAUAAAUUGGGCCAUGGAAAGUACUUCCCCAUGGACGUCGGUCUUCUUCCUCCUCUCCAUCUGAUCUACGCUGAAAAUCCAAGUGACUCUGGCAAGGUCUGUCCUCUCCACAGAAAUGUAGAAGCCAUGGAUCGCUGAGCUUCACUGUUCGUCGUCCGAGAUAUCUGUUUGGAGUCGUCCCAGCGGGGCCAUGAAAGGGGACUUCCAUAUCUUCUGAUCUCAUUCCGCAGAACUUCCGGUGGCAGGUACACAGCUCUGUUCGCAAGCGAUGGCUGGACGGCGACCAGUUCAUAAUAUCCUCCAUGGAAGAGGUCGCCAACAUCGCUCUCGAAGGUCGCGCCGCUCUGACGGAGAAGAACUACGAAGAACUCGCAAGACUCAUGAACCGCAACUUCGAUCUGCGCAGGUCCGAUUGCCGCCUCUCUUACUCUCCCUCUCUGGCUUCCGGAACACCGAUCUUGCUUCUGAUCGGGGGAAGCGUUCUUGACACCGGUGCGGCGAUCUGGAUCUUCGCAGGAAGAUGUUCGGGGACGACGUUCUCGGAUCGGUGAACAUAAGGAUGAUCGAGACGGCCAGAAGCAUCGGCGCGGCGGCGAAGUUCACCGGCAGCGGCGGCGCAGUGGUCGCCUUCUGCCCCGAGGGACCGGCGCAGGUGGAGCUCCUGGAGGACGCUUGCCGGCGGGCGGGCUUCCUCGUCCAGCCGGUCGCCGUCGUCCCUUCAGUCCUCCGUGACGAGGACCUCGAAACCCUGUCGACCUGACGAUCUCUGAGGCAGUGAUCAUAAUUUGACACGUGUACCUUUUAUAUGGUUAUUUCGUGCUGUGCUUUUAAUUUUUUUCUAUUUUUUAAAAGAACACUUUUUUGGAUACUUUCUGCUUUAAUUUUUAAUUUUUUUUCUAAUUAAAUUAUUUUUAUGAAAGCUACUUUUGAAAUAUUUAUGGAAAAUAAGAUAAACAUAUUUUUAAUUUUUUCUAGCGAAUUACGCGGAAUGUACCCACCACGGUUUUCCUUAGUGAAGCUAAGAGGUACGAGCUAGAGAGAAGAGAGAGAGAGAGAGAGAGAGAGAGAGAGAGAGAGAGAGAGAGAGAGAGACGACGACGUACACNNNNNNNNNNNNNNNNNNNNGAGAGAGAGAGAGAGCCACGUCAUCGAUCCAGGAUUUAACGCAUUGACGAUCGGCCGUUCAUCGCACUUAAUCAACGGUCAGGAGUGCAUUUGGAAACGUUACGAGGAUCCGAGUGGCCCCCGGUUGCUCGAUCGGUAACACUAUAAAUGCUGCCUCCCUAUCCCCUUGACGAGCAGCGACUUUUUCUGUUAUCUUCGUGGUCUCCAGUCCAGAGGCUCCUUGUUGAAGGUGGAGGGAGGGAUUCUAGGGUUAGGGUUUCUGAGAUACAAUGUCCGGCAGGGGGAAGGGAGGCAAGGGCCUGGGCAAGGGUGGCGCCAAGCGCCAUCGCAAAGUGCUUAGGGACAACAUCCAGGGCAUCACAAAGCCGGCGAUCCGGAGGCUGGCGAGGAGGGGAGGAGUUAAGCGCAUCAGCGGGCUGAUCUACGAGGAGACGAGGGGCGUCCUCAAGAUCUUCCUCGAGAACGUCAUUCGCGACGCUGUCACCUACACGGAGCACGCCCGCCGGAAGACCGUCACCGCCAUGGACGUCGUGUACGCCCUCAAAAGGCAGGGCCGGACGCUCUACGGAUUCGGUGGUUAAGAGAUUUGUGCUAUGAAAAGUCUUGCUGUCAAGAAAAUUUCAGGGGGGGAAACUGGUGGGGGGAAGGGACGGGAGCUGAGGAGGGAGGGAAAAUUGUAGGGCGGGGUUCUCAUCGACGGGAAGUAGAUUUCUAGACUUCAACCUGUUUCUCUCUCAUCUUCGAUUCGACUCCCCACUAUAAUAUAUUUACAUUCCAUCUCGUUUUCCGUCUAAGUCUUGUUAGAGUCUGAUCUUUGUGGUGCAAUCUUCUCGUUCUGUUCUGUAUUUCCGGUUGAUGACGAGCGUUUGCGAUGCGUGAUGUCUAAUCCUUCUGGAUUAGAGUUCCAAAUGUGGGAUCAGCCAUUGGCGUUCGUACAAUUUAUUAUAUCGAGGCCUCGGUAAAAUAUAACUGUAAUCGAUAUUCAUACUAUUAUCAAGCCUAUUCUUGCCAAAAAUUGUGUAUUGAAUCGCAUGCUUUCUGGGUGUCAUCCCACCAAUCGCGACGUGAAAGUUAAUAAUUUCUUCAAAAAUUUCAACUUCUGAGACAAAUUUCUUAAUCAACCGAAAAUCUCUAGAGUUCAAUUGCGUGAACUUUAUUAAUUUUGAAAGGAAAAACUAGUGUUCACGUCAUGAAAUUCGUAUAUUAAUGUGAGAAUUUCCCUUCGGCGGGAGGUGGCUGGCUGGCAGGGAGGAGGGGAAAGGGUUGUAGAGCAUGGAGAAGCUCUUCCUGGAGGAUCUCCGGCUCCUCCGCCAAGAUGCGUUCAUCGAUUCUCCUUCACCACUUCGAGGGUUGUUCUCCUGCCGUGCCAUAAUCUGCAACCCCGCCUCUUCCGAACUCGCCUUGCGCUCCGUUUUCGACGCCAUCGUCCACUAUCUGGGACGCGAUCCUUCCCCACCCCUCCUCCGCCCCGCGGUGAAGCUGCUCGCCGACGUUGUCGUUCUUCACCCCGCUCUCUCGCCCUCCGUGGUUGGCGCCGUGCGGCCGCUCCUGAGUUCUGGCAAACGUCCCGCCGCGGAAGCCCUGGCUGUUCUAGUUUCCGCGGCGCAGAGCGGCGGCGAAGGCUCGUCUAUAGUCAGGUCGGUGAUGCGGGAAGACAUCAUCCUCUCUCUCGCCUCCAGUCGUGCAGUGGCCGUCCGUUCGCAGCUUCUCAGAUUGUUGGCUCUCGAAGCGCACCAUGUCCGUGAAAUGAGCUCUGCCGACGGCCGACUAGUCGCUGUGCUCCGCGUGUUCUUGGGCCUCACCGCCGACCUGCACCCCUCCGUAAGGAGUGCGGCUCUCGAAGGCUUGCUCGUGUUCUGCAAGAAUGCCGUCGCGUGGAUGGAGGUCUCGGUGAUGCAGAGAUGCUACGACGUUGGGGUCGAGCUCCUUCACGACGUCGACGUGUUCGUCAAAAUGUCUGCCAUUCGACUGGUAUUGCUUCAUCUCUGAUCUUAGUCCGCCGUGCUCUUCAACCUCAGUUCCCGUCGGUUACAUAUUCUCAUUAAUGACCUUCUUAUGGCACUGGUGAUAGCUGUCACCCUUGUUGCCAUCGCUCUUGAUCAUAUCCAUUUUCACAGAGAUUUCCGGCUGUCUUUUUUCUUUAGGUGUCUGGGUUGGGUCAGAUGCUGGUGGCGACGAAGCAGGGGACAGACAAUAGCAAGUUUUCAGACGCACAGUUCCUUAGGGUAUUCUUCAGAUGGUAGCUCUGGGCUGGAUUUUCUCUUUAAUUAUUUUUGUUCUUGAACUUCAACCAGAUGCCAUUAAAAGAAACCUCCAAGUCAUUUGAUGGAUAUUUCCAUCGCGGUAUCUUGCCUGGUAUAAUUAAUUGGCAUCUCCCAGAGAUGUUGUUCACAGUUAACAAUAGAUGAUAGAUGGUUUCGUUUUCAUUUAAAACUGGGAUCCUGCUUUGGCUCCAGGAGAUACUGAAAAGAUUAUCAAGAACUCUUCAUUUUGAACAUAUUUUUUGCUACAAAAGUCAACCUUUCUUAGACAAAUCUUCUUCGUCGUUUUUACAUCUUCAUGCAUAACAUUUUAUAAGGUUCAAAUAAUCGUUAUGGGCCUUUUUAUUUCGUCCUCAAUUCCUUAACAUGGGCUUCGUAAUUUGAUAGAGAUUUACCUCUUGCAGCUAUGUUCAUCUGCCAGAGACAUGGAUAUGAGGGUCAGAGUUGAAGUUUUUCUCUCACUUGAAAAGAUAAAGCUGGUGUCGGAGAGUGUGCUGCUACAGUCUUUGUCUAAGAAAGUGAAGAAGGGCAACAGUGGAGGAAAAUCUCUAGCUGAAUUCAGUGAGGAAGGAUGUGGGCUACCAAUAUCUUGUGCUGCUGGUGUAUUUCUUCAGGGUCUGGAGGAUGAAUUCCACGAGGUAUAUUGAUACUCGUGAAUUUAUCUUCCUCCUUUGCCGUCCCAAAUAUCGCCACCUUUAUCAUAUCACUAGUUUUCUUGGCAUCUAGGUUUAUUUUCUUUAUUAUUAUUUUUAAUUUUUACAAAAAUGAAUUUUCUGACCGGAUGCAUCACUGUCGAAGGUCCGAAGAGCUGCAUGUUUUUCCUUGGGGACGCUUACAAUUUUAUCUGCCAAAUUUGCCGACAAUGCCUUGGACUUUCUAAUGGACAUGCUGAACGACGAGUCUGAUGCUGUUCAACUUCAGGCGCUGCAAACAUUACUUCAAAUGGCGAGGAAUGACAAUAUGAAAGUGCAAGAAAGGCACAUGCAUAUGGUUCGCUCCUGAACUGCUCUUGGAUUGGAUGAACAAAAUAAUUAACAGUGCAAACCUUAGUUCUGAAUCAUAGAUUUCGCCCGCCCUACUUCUUUCCUCUUUUUAGUCGGAUUUAUUGCUGUUUUUCUAUUUUAUGCCAAGAACAAACUUCUGUGCUUUUAUAAACCUUUUGUUGACUAUGUUCGCAACCACUAGAAAAUUAUCUGGCAUUUAGUGCUGCAAUUGAUAUUAUUGGCGGUAUCUGUAGGUUCACAUAUGACUCAGCGAUGCUUUUUUUCUUUUUAUUGAUCUAGCAACUUGGAGUAUACUAAAAGUAAUUUCAUGCGCUGGAGGCCGCUUUUGACUGGGAGUCAAAGAGAAGCAAUCUGAUGUUUACAUAGCUUGUUAUGCUACAUUCUAUAAUGUUUAUAGUUAUUUAGAACGGUGGUGAAGAGUUUUCCGUAUACAUGGUAUCAUUAACCCUAUGAAUUUUUCGAUAUAGUGCUGCACAUUAGAAACUAUUUUUUUCAGUUGAUAUAUUAUUUGAUAUGGCGAAUGUGAUGUUCUUCGUGUAAUCUCUGACUUGUAGUAAAAUGGCGAAGGAUUACUUAUCUCCGUGGAGAUGAAAUUUUUGCUCCUCUGAAGAUUCGAAUUUCUUCAAUAAAUGAACUAAAUCUCACAUCUGAUAAUGCUCAAGAUGGGAAGAAGCCUGUAAAUUUUCUCGUAGGUUUCUCUGAUUUCACAUUUAUGUUAUGUUCCCGUACUGUUGGAUACUGAUCAACCCUUAAUCAUCUAUGGUGUCUUUAAGUAAUGCCUCUGCUUGUGUUCUCCCCGGCAUUGAAUAUGAUUUCAUAUCUGCACGAUAUGUUUCUCUAGUUGUGGAUGUUGUGAUGAACUUGAUCAUCUGCAUCACUUGGUACUCAUUAAUGAAAGUCUCAAAACUCUGUUUUCCUGAUUAUUAGUUGUACACGUUCAACUUAUGGCCUCUGUUGUCCGUGCAGUUUCUUGGGACUUUAGCCAAUAGUAGUGCUCCAAUCCGAUGUGCAGCAAGGAACGUUCUUAGGUCAACAAGGUUGCCAAGUAUGGCGUUAUUCAGGUUGUCAGUCAACGGGCUCCUUGGGAACUUGGAGGCAUAUGGAGAGGUUCGAGCCUCCUUUGCCCUCACUAAUGUGGGUUAAUUUUGUGCCACUAAGAUUCCUAUCUUUUAAUAAAAUUGUCUUCUAAUGCGUGUGUACCCUGUAUGAUUAUGUUUAUCGUUCCUUUUAGCCUGCUAUUAUCCUCAUUAUUUAAGCUUUUAUUUUUUAGAAUUUCCCCUUGCAGUUCUAUCCAUGUUCAGAACACGAACCAUUAUUUUCUCACACUUAAACUCCUGUGUCAGUCUUCUCUCUCUCUCUCUCUCUCUCUCUCUCUCUCUCUCUCUCUCUGUGUGGCUGGCUCCCUUUGAACUGAAAGCUACUGGUGAUCUUUUGAAUCCAGUCUUCGAUAGUUAUUUUCUCAAAGGCUUGGUUCCAGUUUAGUCUGGCUCUGUUCGAUAGUCCAUUCCUUUCAUUAAUAAUGCUCUCUCUCUCUCUCUCUCUCUCUCUCUCUCUGUGGAUUACCAGCCUGUGGGUUUUCUUCGUAACACUGUUUCACCACCCAGGAUGAAGAAGACAUACUCGCUGCCCUUUUUUGCAUCGGCAAGGCCCACGGAGACCUCGCAGCUAGAAUCACGGAAGAAUACGCACAAGAGGUAACCACCCUCUCUCUCUCUCUCGCUCGAUAUAUAUAUAUAUAUAUAUGUUCUACAUCCCUUGGCCGAUAAACCAUGUCUGAAGGUCUUCUGCCAUGGUGGUGAUUAAGUAAAUAUCCCAACUUCCUUCUGCAAAUCUCAGAUUUACUCGAUUAAUCGCGGGUUAUAAUUAUUUUCUUCUCUCCCUUCAGAUAGAACCUCCAGGCCAUGGGGAAAUGAACCUCGACAGGCCUCGAGUUGCUGCUCUUGUGGUCCUGGGCAUCUCCCCAUCUUUAUCCGGCGAGGAGUUGACUCAGACGGUGCCAGCUAGGAUGUUCUCUUAUGCGGUUCCAUUAUUGGGCAGGAUCUCACGCUCUUUGAAAGAUUUUAUGAGCCAGGAUACUCUUUUAUGCUUUUUAUGCAGGCGCAGUGGACUUCCCUUCUUAGAGGCAGAGUCAACGUCUGAGGAGCCUCAGGUACGGCGGCAUGCAUCGUUGUAGGCGUAAUUUAGGAAAGUCUUGUUGAGCCUGGUGAGUUGACCUCCCUUGUUGGCCAGUUUCAGACGGGAGGAACUGAGAUGCUGAUCCUCUCUGCUGUCCGCCGAACUCUCAAGAGGGCCGCAGAGGCCUGGCAUAUGAUCAAGGCCCACGCCACCCGUGAUGCAGUGGAGACUCUAAGGUGUUGACCUCUGAACUCGAAUCAUCGUGCCCAUGAUGCCCACGUGGCAUCCGCAGGAUCUCUACCUUCUGGUCAACAAAUGGAGUGAAGAUUUGUUCUCUUAUGCAGUGCCUGCAAGGAGGAGCUGGAGAUGGUUGACCAGAGCUGCAAUGAGGCUUCCGCGGCCUGCUUGGUCUUCUCCCUGGAAUACGUUCAGGUACUCCGGCUGGUAGCCGAGGUGUGGGAACAAAUGCAGCCCAAGGAGCCACAUGUCAUGAGAAUGAGGAAAUUAGAUCUUCUUCUGGAAAAACUGGAAGUCAACGUUGCAAGCAUGAGAUGCUGCUUUCUGGGGUUGGCCAAGGCGGCGGAGUCACAUCUGCUAGAGCUCUCCCUGCUUCAGUGUGUCAUGAGAUUAUCUACAAUUGGAACCCAGGAAGCCCCGAUCUUGAGGAAGAUGAGGUUUCUGAUCUCUAGAUUAGAGCAGCUGGUCGCUGAAGAAAAAUCUGAUCUUUCUGCUUUUGUCAAGGAGUUAAGAAACUUCUGUUCUCAAGGGUCAACUCGCAUCGUUGACUUACUGGAACUCUGCAGCUUGGAUCAAAUGGAGUUGAGCGGAGGACGACUCAGACGCCGAAAGGCUGAGCUUCGAUCUCGAGCUGAUGAUUCUGACCAGCUCCCUCUCCCCUUCGUUCCAGGGCUGCCCGUUGGGAUCCCACUUGAUAUUACUCUGCAUAACAUCUCAAGCGAUGAUAGGGUGUGGCUCAGGAUGACUGCCAGCGGGUCAACGCAGUAUGCCUUUCUAAGCUUGGACAGAUUUGACGGCUCCGAUGUGGAGAGAAGAUGCGCCGCCGACGUACCAUUUUAUGCUACUCCGACGGUCCCCUUUCUUCUGAAGGCCAGUGUCUGCUUGGAGUGCUCCCGAGGGUAUCUGACGCGGAAGAGUAAAAGUCAACGGGGUCCGAGACGUGAAACCGUAGAUCUAUGUGAAGAGAUGGAGAUUUAUCUUGCCGAAUUUGGUCAGACUGUGUUCUGAAUAUAGUCAUAAGGUCUUCUCCCUCCAAUAGAUUUCCGCCAGGUAGACUCUGUUCCUCGAGAUCGAUCGGCUUCUCACUCUAGUUUUCUUGUUUUCUCUCUCAUUAAUUUGCCCAACUACCAGGUCAAUCUCAGUUUUUUGACGGUUGGUUUCCUUCGGCAGGAUUGUGGCAGUCGCCGGAGCACGAGUCGCCGGGGGUGGUCAACGCCGCCGUCGGCCGCCUCUCCGUGGCGGCGAGGGGUAUGGUCAGAAGAGCACGCACCAGAAUAGCCUGUCGAGAAGCAAAAAUUACGGUCUUGGGAAAGGUCUUCCGGAAAAGAAGGCGGUGGCGGUCUUCUCUUUGACUGUGCCGUUACGGCGGCGCUUGCUCUCGACUUUAAGAAGGGAAGAGCAACGGAAGGAGGGGGCCCCGAGAGAGAUGGGUACCCGUUAUUGCAGGUCACCCGCCGUCGCCGCUCCGCCGCCGGCGAGGGCGACGUACGUGACCCUGUACAGGUGGCCGGAGUCGGACGCCGAGUUCGUCAGGUCCGUCGGCAGCGGCGGCGGCGCUCCGCCGCGGAGGCCUGCGCUGCGCCACCAGCCGCCUGUUGUGGACGGGUACUCGUGCCGGCAGAUGUACCUGCGGAGCUACACCUUCUCCAAGAGGGAGACCCUGCCGGAGCGGGCCAGGAAGUGCCUCGUCAAGGUAAAGGAGAGCGUCGCCGGCGCCGCAGUUUCCGCCUCCUGUGGCUUCGCCGGCCGCCGUACGAAGGCGGAGAAGAAGUGCCCGCCGCUCGCCGCCGCCGCCCUGAACUCCAUCUCCCGCCGGCUCCUCUCCUGCACCGCCAGCCUCAACGUCGCCGUUCAGUAAGAGAGAGAGAGAGAGAGAGAGAGAGAGAGAGNNNNNNNNNNNNNNNNNNNNNNNNNNNNNNNNNNNNNNNNNNNNNNNNNNNNNNNNNNNNNNNNNNNNNNNNNNNNNNNNNNNNNNNNNNNNNNNNNNNNNNNNNNNNNNNNNNNNNNNNNNNNNNNNNNNNNNNNNNNNNNNNNNNNNNNNNNNNNNNNNNNNNNNNNNNNNNNNNNNNNNNNNNNNNNNNNNNNNNNNNNNNNNGAGAGAGAGAGAGGUACAAUCGUUCAGAUAAUAAGACUUCAAGGGUUCUGUUUGUCAUACUGGGAUGCCGACGACUGCUUCCUUCUUGAUUUCCCCUGUUUCUUCUGAGAUGUUGUCGCCCCAGAGUUCAACACUCUAUCUCUCUCUUCUCUCUACCGGUCGGCGGCUCCGGCGCCGGCGCCAGCAGGGGAAUCUACUUUGGGUAAAGCAAACAGGGGUCGUCUCUGCGGUCAACAGUCACCCCACUUCAAGGUUCGAUCUUUAUGCUUUUGGGCUCUCCCUCUGCCAGCCGUCUGCUCAGACCUGAAGGCCGCCGGCGGCACCGCCGCCUCUGCCGCCGGAGGUGUGGGUCCCAUACCGCAAAUAUAGGGCCCAUAAAGCCCAAUAUCUCCCGCUGGGCGGAGGCCCAGUAUAACCGCUCAGCCUUCUUUAACCCUCCGUCAGGUCACGUCGUUUGCUUCGAAUCCCCGCGAAUAACGUCACCUCUAGGUUUCGGCAACGUGGCCCAUUUAAGAGCGCAGCAACCUAAUGUAUCUUCCAGAAAGUUCUGCUAAUCGUGUGCCAAAGCGAAAAAGAGCCAACCAAUCAGAUGGCCCGUUGUACGUCACCAGCAACGGCUAUCGCCGCAGGAGCCGCCACGUCAGCGAUGUCGCAGCCAAUAAACUGCGCGAUCAAGGGGGGCGGUCGGACGGAGGAUUUUCCUUUUGGGGAAUCUCGCCUCGCGAGGGGGACAGCAGGAGGUCGACGUCGGCCUCUGGAUGCUGCGGACCAGGGCGGGGAGGCUGUUGCAGUGGCGGGGCGAAGGGGGAGGGGAGGGUGGCCGGAUCCUGGAGGGCGGAAAUCGAGCCUGCUGUUCAAGUCUCUAUCGAUUAGUGUCUUUGUUCGUAGGGAUCUGCAUCGGGGACGAUCUUGGUCGCCAUCUCUUUAGUGUUUCCAGCAGGAGAUUGCUUUUGGGUGCAGGAGGCGUGUAUCUGAAGGUAUAGUUGGAGAAUCUGUUGCUUCUCAUCUUCGGACGAAGGUUGGUUCGUUGCGGAGAGUGGAUUCGGCGUCAUGGGAAGGGGGACCCAAGAUCCAGUUAACGGUGAGGCCGGGC
This 30312-nucleotide long non-coding RNA is filed under the name Spirodela polyrhiza (greater duckweed). RNAcentral's name for it is "long non-coding RNA (SPOL_LNC001495)". The record is from RNAcentral. Lineage: Eukaryota; Viridiplantae; Streptophyta; Magnoliopsida; Alismatales; Araceae.